GAAACAGACUCAGAGAAGGGAGUUGACUUUCCUGUGGUCACACAGCAAUACAUGGCAAAAGUAGGACUUAAGAGAUGCCCAGGCCGAGGUACCACACUAAUCCUAUUUCCACCUCCCAAGUCAGCUUAUUCUGCCUCCUCAUAGUGAAGAUGCACAGGGCUUCAAAAAGCUACUAAUGGCCACAGCUGCAGUGUCAUUGUUUAAUUUUGUGCCAGUCAUGAAUUUUCAAGCUAUUGUUUUGAUUUUCAGGCUCCCACUGAUGAAGCUGGUUGCCGUGGAAAUUACCAGGCUGCAGAUGAUUUCAGUCUCAAGGAUGUCCUAAU
Molecule: long non-coding RNA, 323 nt
Filed under: Phascolarctos cinereus (koala)
Lineage: Eukaryota; Metazoa; Chordata; Mammalia; Diprotodontia; Phascolarctidae
Description: lncRNA (ENSPCIG00000032259.1)
Source: RNAcentral